Molecule: ribosomal RNA, 653 nt
Filed under: uncultured bacterium
Lineage: Bacteria
Description: bacterial SSU rRNA
Rfam family: Bacterial small subunit ribosomal RNA
Source: RNAcentral
GUUUGAUCAUGGCUCAGGACGAACGCUGGCGGCGUGCUUAACACAUGCAAGUGGAGCGACGAACCAGGCUUCGGCCUGGGGCAAAGCCGCGAACGGGUGAGUAACACGUGGGUAACCUGCCCUGAUGAUCGGGACAACCCGGGGAAACCCGGGCUAAUACCGAAUGUGCCCGCGAGCCACAAGGCUCGCGCGGAAAGGAAGCUUUGGCCUCCGCAUCGGGAUGGGCCCGCGGCCCAUUAGCUUGUUGGUGGGGUAAUGGCCUACCAAGGCAGCAAUGGGUAGCUGGUCUGAGAGGACGAUCAGCCACACUGGGACUGAGACACGGCCCAGACUCCUACGGGAGGCAGCAGUGGGGAAUCUUGCGCAAUGCGCGAAAGCGUGACGCAGCAACGCCGCGUGGGGGAAGACGGCCUUCGGGUUGUAAACCCCUUUCAGUUGGGACGAAGCUUCGUCGGUGAAUAGCCGGCUGGAGUGACGGUACCUUCAGAAGAAGCCCCGGCUAACUACGUGCCAGCAGCCGCGGUAAUACGUAGGGGGCAAGCGUUGUCCGGAAUCAUUGGGCGUAAAGAGCGUGUAGGCGGCCCGAUAAGUCCGCCGUGAAAGUCCAGGGCUCAACCCUGGAAUGCCGGUGGAUACUGUCGGGCUAGAGUCCG